CCUCGCCUCGCCUCGCCAUGGCGGAAGGGAGGCCCAGUCCCCGCGCUCGGCUCACGGCGGCAACUUGAGGCCUCCGUCGGGCCUGGGCUGGCGUGUCUGGGCGCUGGGUCCGCCGCCGUCCUGCCUGGAGGGCGGUGCCGGCACAGACAGAAGUACAAUAUAUGAUCAAACAAUUUUAAAGAGAAGGUACCUUCCAGAAUGGACCAGCUUCUGUUACCACCAACCAUCCCACUUAUAAUGUCUCUGCUGUGGAGAAUAUUCUCCAGAUCAAGCUCCCAGGCAACUGGAAUCUGUUAUUUACAACAGUUAGUACAGCUGAAUGUUCUUUAAAUCAGAAUGACUGAA
Long non-coding RNA from Mauremys reevesii (Reeves's turtle), 345 nucleotides. RefSeq lists it as uncharacterized. NCBI's taxonomy places the organism in Eukaryota, Metazoa, Chordata, Testudines, Geoemydidae. The record is from RefSeq and is a predicted model, not a curated record. The transcript is spliced from 3 exons.